GAUGAAGAACGUAGCGAAAUGCGAUAAGUAAUGUGAAUUGCAGAAUUCAGUGAAUCAUCGAAUCUUUGAACGCACAUUGCGCCCGCCAGUAUUCUGGCGGGCAUGCCUGUUCGAGCGUCAUUACAACCCUCAGGCCCCCGGGCCUGGCGUUGGGGAUCGGCGGAAGCCCCCUGCGGGCACAACGCCGUCCCCCAAAUACAGUGGCGGUCCCGCCGCAGCUUCCAUUGCGUAGUAGCUAACACCUCGCAACUGGAGAGCGGCGCGGCCACGCCGUAAAACACCCAACUUCUGAAUGUUGACCUCGAAUCAGGUAGGAAUACCCGCUGAACUUAAGCAUAUCAAUAGCGGAGG
Molecule: unclassified non-coding RNA, 351 nt
Filed under: soil metagenome
Description: partial contains 5.8S ribosomal RNA, internal transcribed spacer 2, and large subunit ribosomal RNA
Rfam family: 5.8S ribosomal RNA (bases 1-120)
Source: RNAcentral